RNAcentral lists this ribosomal RNA (484 nucleotides) under uncultured bacterium. RNAcentral's name for it is "partial 16S ribosomal RNA". It matches the Rfam family "Bacterial small subunit ribosomal RNA", at positions 30 to 507 of the family's 1533-position model. The record is from RNAcentral.
AUUGAACGCUGGCGGCAGGCCUAACACAUGCAGGUCGAGCGGAUGAAGGGAGCUUGCUCCUGGAUUCAGCGGCGGACGGGUGAGUAAUGCCUAGGAAUCUGCCUGGUAGUGGGGGAUAACGUCCGGAAACGGGCGCUAAUACCGCAUACGUCCUGAGGGAGAAAGUGGGGGAUCUUCGGACCUCACGCUAUCAGAUGAGCCUAGGUCGGAUUAGCUAGUUGGUGGGGUAAAGGCCUACCAAGGCGACGAUCCGUAACUGGUCUGAGAGGAUGAUCAGUCACACUGGAACUGAGACGCGGUCCAGACUCCUACGGGAGGCAGCAGUGGGGAAUAUUGGACAAUGGGCGAAAGCCUGAUCCAGCCAUGCCGCGUGUGUGAAGAAGGUCUUCGGAUUGUAAAGCACUUUAAGUUGGGAGGAAGGGCAGUAAGUUAAUACCUUGCUGUUUUGACGUUACCAACAGAAUAAGCACCGGCUAACUUCGUG